AGCAGCCGCGGUAAUUCCAGCUCCAAUAGCGUAUAUUAAAGUUGUUGCAGUUAAAAAGCUCGUAGUUGAAUUUCGGGAUCAGUUCGCUGGUCGUGCCUCUGGUAUGUACUGGUGUUACUGGUUUCUACCUUCUGACGAACUGUCAUGUCAUUAAUUUGGUGUGGCGGGGAAUUAGGACUGUUACUUUGAAAAAAUUAGAGUGUUUAAAGCAGGCUCGCGCUUGAAUACAUUAGCAUGGAAUAAUGAAAUAGGACGUUCGAUCCUAUUUUGUUGGUUUCUAGGAUUGACGUAAUGAUUAAUAGGGAUAGUUGGGGGCAUUAGUAUUCAAUUGUCAGAGGUGAAAUUCUUGGAUUUAUUGAAGACUAACUACUGCGAAAGCAUUUGCCAAGGAUGUUUUCAUUAAUCAAGAACGAAAGUUAGGGGAUCGAAGACGAUCAGAUACCGUCGUAGUCUUAACCAUAAACUAUGCCGACUAGGGAUCGGAUGAUGUUAAUUUUUUAAUGACUCA
RNAcentral lists this ribosomal RNA (508 nucleotides) under uncultured Glomus. RNAcentral's name for it is "SSU rRNA". It matches the Rfam family "Eukaryotic small subunit ribosomal RNA", at positions 569 to 1078 of the family's 1831-position model. The record is from RNAcentral. Lineage: Eukaryota; Fungi; Glomeromycota; Glomeromycetes; Glomerales; Glomeraceae.